GGGGGUAUAGCUCAGCGGUAGAGCACAUGCUUGGCAUGUACAAGGCUCUGGGUUCAAUCCCCAGUACCUCCA
Molecule: transfer RNA, 72 nt
Filed under: Camelus bactrianus (Bactrian camel)
Lineage: Eukaryota; Metazoa; Chordata; Mammalia; Artiodactyla; Camelidae
Also listed under: 2 other names
Rfam family: tRNA
About the family: Transfer RNA (tRNA) molecules are approximately 80 nucleotides in length. Their secondary structure includes four short double-helical elements and three loops (D, anti-codon, and T loops). Further hydrogen bonds mediate the characteristic L-shaped molecular structure. tRNAs have two regions of fundamental functional importance: the anti-codon, which is responsible for specific mRNA codon recognition, and the 3' end, to which the tRNAs corresponding amino acid is attached (by aminoacyl-tRNA synthetases). tRNAs cope with the degeneracy of the genetic code in two manners: having more than one tRNA (with a specific anti-codon) for a particular amino acid; and 'wobble' base-pairing, i.e. permitting non-standard base-pairing at the 3rd anti-codon position.
Source: Rfam by way of RNAcentral